CCUACGGGAGGCAGCAGUGAGGAAUAUUGGUCAAUGGGCGGGAGCCUGAACCAGCCAAGUCGCGUGAGGGACGACGGUCCUAUGGAUUGUAAACCUCUUUUAUAAAGGAAUAAAGUGAGGCACGUGUGCCUUUUUGUAUGUACUUUAUGAAUAAGGAUCGGCUAACUCCGUGCCAGCAGCCGCGGUAAUACGGAGGAUCCGAGCGUUAUCCGGAUUUAUUGGGUUUAAAGGGAGCGUAGAUGGGUUGUUAAGUCAGUUGUGAAAGGUUGCGGCUCAACCGUAAAAUUGCAAUUGAUACUGGCAGUCUUGAGUACAGUUGAGGUAGGCGGAAUUCGUGGUGUAGCGGUGAAAUGCUUAGAUAUCACGAAGAACUCCGAUUGCGAAGGCAGCUUACUAAACUGCCACUGACAUUGAUGCUCGAAAGUGUGGGUAUCAAACAGGAUUAGAUACCCUUGUAGUC
This 460-nucleotide ribosomal RNA is filed under the name uncultured bacterium. Its description in RNAcentral is "partial 16S ribosomal RNA". It matches the Rfam family "Bacterial small subunit ribosomal RNA", at positions 338 to 795 of the family's 1533-position model. The record is from RNAcentral.